Molecule: ribosomal RNA, 1128 nt
Filed under: Trichomonas gallinae
Lineage: Eukaryota; Parabasalia; Trichomonadida; Trichomonadidae
Description: SSU rRNA
Rfam family: Eukaryotic small subunit ribosomal RNA
Source: RNAcentral
UGACUUUCGGAGGAGGUAAUGACCAGUUCCAUUGAUGCCUUUUGGUAUUGUGGAUAGGGGUACGGUUUUCCACCGUACCGAAACCUAGCAGAGGGCCAGUCUGGUGCCAGCAGCUGCGGUAAUUCCAGCUCUGCGAGUUUGCUCCCAUAUUGUUGCAGUUAAAACGCCCGUAGUCUGAAUUGGCCAGCAAUGGUCGUAUGUAUUUAUACGUUCACUGUGAACAAAUCAGGACGCUUAGAGUAUGGCUACAUGAAUGACUCAGCGCAGUAUGAAGUCUUUGUUUUCUUCCGAAAACAAGCUCAACGAGAGCCAUCGGGGGUAGAUCUAUCUCAUGACGAGUGGUGGAAUACUUUGACUCAUGAGAGAGAAUCUGAGGCGAAGGCGUCUACCUAGAGGGUUUCUGUCGAUCAAGGGCGAGAGUAGGAGUAUCCAACAGGAUUAGAGACCCUGGUAGUUCCUACCUUAAACGAUGCCGACAGGAGUUUGUCACUUAUUAGUGGCAGAAUCUUUGGAGAAAUCAUAGUUCUUGGGCUCUGGGGGAACUACGACCGCAAGGCUGAAACUUGAAGGAAUUGACGGAAGGGCACACCAGGGGUGGAGCCUGUGGCUUAAUUUGAAUCAACACGGGGAAACUUACCAGGACCAGAUGUUUUUUAUGACUGACAGGCUUUGGGUCUUUCAGGAUAUUGCUUUUGGUGGUGCAUGGCCGUUGGUGGUGCGUGGGUUGACCUGUCUAGCGUUGAUUCAGCUAACGAGCGAGAUUAUCGCCAAUUAUCUACUUCGUCUAAGUCUUUAGAUGGAAGUUCUAAUUGGGACUCCCUGCGAUUUUAGCAGGUGGAAGAGGGUAGCAAUAACAGGUCCGUGAUGCCCUUUAGAUGCUCUGGGCUGCACGCGUGCUACAAUGUUAGGAUCAAUAGGACUGCAAAGCCGAGAGGCCGCGCUACUCUUAUAAUCCCUAACGUAGUUGGGAUUGACGUUUGUAAUCAGCGUCAUGAACCAGGAAUCCCUUGUAAAUGUGUGUCAACAACGCACGUUGAAUACGUCCCUGCCCUUUGUACACACCGCCCGUCGCUCCUACCGAUUGGAUGACUCGGUGAAAUCACCGGAUGCUUACGAGCAGAAAGUGAU